UACAAACUCCAUGCUUGCGGAUCCGCUCACUAAGGGAUUGACACCAAAAGUAUUUCAUGAGCAUAUUGCUUGUAUGGGUGUCAAAUCAAAUAAGGAUAAUGUAUUUUAGUGGGAGUUUGUAUUGUACAUUUAUGUAUUGUGUAUUAUAUUCAGAAAUUCAGUAAUUCAGUUAUAUCUGCGCAGAUAUUCAGUUUUAAAGUUUUUNN
This 206-nucleotide long non-coding RNA is filed under the name Nicotiana benthamiana. RNAcentral describes it as "long non-coding RNA (NBEN_LNC025180)". Lineage: Eukaryota; Viridiplantae; Streptophyta; Magnoliopsida; Solanales; Solanaceae. The record is from RNAcentral.